This 460-nucleotide ribosomal RNA is filed under the name uncultured bacterium. RNAcentral describes it as "partial 16S ribosomal RNA". It matches the Rfam family "Bacterial small subunit ribosomal RNA", at positions 338 to 795 of the family's 1533-position model. The record is from RNAcentral.
CCUACGGGCGGCAGCAGUGAGGAAUAUUGGUCAAUGGACGAAAGUCUGAACCAGCCAAGCCGCGUGAAGGAAGACGGCUCUAUGGGUUGUAAACUUCUUUUAUAUGGGAGUAAAGUUGAGUAUGUAUAUUGAGUUGGAAGUACCUUACGAAUAAGGAUCGGCUAACUCCGUGCCAGCAGCCGCGGUAAUACGGAGGAUCCAAGCGUUAUCCGGAUUUAUUGGGUUUAAAGGGAGCGUAGGCGGACGGAUAAGUCAGAUGUGAAAUGUCCGGGCUUAACCCUGGAACUGCCUUUGAUACUGUUUGUCUUGAGUGCAGGUGAGGUAGGCGGAAUUCGUGGUGUAGCGGUGAAAUGCUUAGAUAUCAUGCAGAACACCGAUUGCGAAGGCAGCUUACUGGACUGUAACUGACGCUGAGGCACGAAAGCGUGGGUAGCAAACAGGAUUAGAUACCCCAGUAGUC